AUUCCAGCUCCAAUAGCGUAUAUUAAAGUUGUUGCAGUUAAAAAGCUCGUAGUUGGAUCUCGGGCGCAGGCUAGCGGUCCACCUCGCGGUGGUUACUGCUCGUCCUGCCCUACCAUCGGGUUUUCCCUUGGUGCUCUUCGCUGAGUGUCUCGGGUGGCCAGAACGUUUACUUUGAAAAAAUUAGAGUGUUCAAAGCAGGCGCAUCGCCUGAAUAAUGGUGCAUGGAAUAAUGGAACAGGACCUCGGUUCUAUUUUGUUGGUUUUCGGAAGUCGAGGUAAUGAUUAAGAGGGACAGACGGGGGCAUUCGUAUUACGGUGUUAGAGGUGAAAUUCUUGGAUCGCCGUAAGACGAACUACUGCGAAAGCAUUUGCCAAGAAUGUUUUCAUUA
RNAcentral lists this ribosomal RNA (389 nucleotides) under Lepidochitona sp. RNAcentral's name for it is "partial small subunit ribosomal RNA". It matches the Rfam family "Eukaryotic small subunit ribosomal RNA", at positions 582 to 975 of the family's 1831-position model. The record is from RNAcentral. Lineage: Eukaryota; Metazoa; Mollusca; Polyplacophora; Chitonida; Tonicellidae.